GACGGAGGGUGCAAGCGUUGUUCGGAAUUACUGGGCGUAAAGCGCGGGCAGGUGGCCUUUUAAGUCCUUUGUGAAAUCCCGGAGCUCAACUCCGGAUGUGCAUAGGAUACUGGAAGGCUAGAGACUGGUAGAGGCGAGCGGAAUUCCUGGUGUAGCGGUGGAAUGCGUAGAUAUCGAGAGGAACACCAGAGGUGAAGACGGGUUGCUGGGCCGACACUGACGCUGACAGCGCGAAAGCCAGGGGAGCAAACGGG
RNAcentral lists this ribosomal RNA (254 nucleotides) under uncultured bacterium. Its description in RNAcentral is "partial 16S ribosomal RNA". It matches the Rfam family "Bacterial small subunit ribosomal RNA", at positions 524 to 776 of the family's 1533-position model. The record is from RNAcentral.